AAAGGUAAGCUACUAAGAGCGAAUGGUGGAUGCCUUGACUGGUAAAGGCGAUGAAGGACGUACUAGACUGCGAUAAGCUACGGGGAGCUGUCAAGAAGCUUUGAUCCGUAGAUUUCCGAAUGGGGCAACCCAAUGUAUAGAGAUAUACAUUACCUAUAUAGGAGCGAACGAGGGGAAUUGAAACAUCUUAGUACCCUCAGGAAAAGAAAUCAAUAGAGAUUGCGUCAGUAGCGGCGAGCGAAAGCGCAAGAGGGCAAACCCAGUGCUUGCACUGGGGGUUGUAGGACUGCAAUGUGCAAGAGGUAAGUUUAGCAGAACAUUCUGGAAAGUAUAACCAUAGAGGGUGAUAGUCCCGUAUGCGAAAAACAAACCUUAGCUAGCAGUAUCCUGAGUAGGGCGGGACACGAGGAAUCCUGUCUGAAUCCGGGUCGACCACGAUCCAACCCUAAAUACUAAUACCAGAUCGAUAGUGCACAAGUACCGUGAGGGAAAGGUGAAAAGAACUGAGGUGAUCAGAGUGAAAUAGAACCUGAAACCAUUUGCUUACAAUCAUUCAGAGCCCUAUGUAGCAAUACAGGGUGAUGGACUGCCUUUUGCAUAAUGAGCCUGCGAGUUGUGGUGUCUGGCAAGGUUAAGCAAACGCGAAGCCGUAGCGAAAGCGAGUCUGAAUAGGGCGCUUAGUCAGAUGCUGCAGACCCGAAACGAAGUGAUCUAUCCAUGAGCAAGUUGAAGCUAGUGUAAGAACUAGUGGAGGACUGAACCCAUAGGCGUUGAAAAGCCCCGGGAUGACUUG
Molecule: ribosomal RNA, 793 nt
Filed under: Campylobacter jejuni
Lineage: Bacteria; Pseudomonadati; Campylobacterota; Epsilonproteobacteria; Campylobacterales; Campylobacteraceae
Description: partial 23S ribosomal RNA
Rfam family: Bacterial large subunit ribosomal RNA
Source: RNAcentral